ACGGAAGGCAGCAGUGGGGAAUAUUGGGCAAUGGGCGAAAGCCUGACCCAGCGACGCCGCGUGAGGGAAGAAGGUCUUCGGAUUGUAAACCUUAGUCAACAGGGAAGAAGCAAGUGACGGUACCUGUGGAGGAAGCCACGGCUAACUACGUGCCAGCAGCCGCGGUAAUACGUAGGUGGCGAGCGUUAUCCGGAUUUACUGGGUGUAAAGGGUGUGUAGGCGGGACUGCAAGUCAGAUGUGAAAUAUGCCGGCUCAACUGGCAGACUGCAUUUGAAACUGCGGUUCUUGAGUGAAGUAGAGGUAAGCGGAAUUCCUAGUGUAGCGGUGAAAUGCGUAGAUAUUAGGAGGAACAUCAGUGGCGAAGGCGGCUUACUGGGCUUUAACUGACGCUGAGGCUCGAAAGCGUGGGGAGCAAACAGGAUUAGAUACCCUGGUA
RNAcentral lists this ribosomal RNA (437 nucleotides) under uncultured Ruminococcus sp. Its description in RNAcentral is "partial 16S ribosomal RNA". It matches the Rfam family "Bacterial small subunit ribosomal RNA", at positions 341 to 792 of the family's 1533-position model. Lineage: Bacteria; Bacillati; Bacillota; Clostridia; Eubacteriales; Oscillospiraceae. The record is from RNAcentral.